GCCUGCAUGGCUCAGUCGGUUAAGCAUCUGACUUUGGCUCAGGUCAUGAUCUCACAGUUUGGUUUGUGGGUUUGAGCCCCAUGUCGGGCU
This 90-nucleotide transfer RNA is filed under the name Felis catus (domestic cat). It matches the Rfam family "tRNA". From Rfam's summary of the family: Transfer RNA (tRNA) molecules are approximately 80 nucleotides in length. Their secondary structure includes four short double-helical elements and three loops (D, anti-codon, and T loops). Lineage: Eukaryota; Metazoa; Chordata; Mammalia; Carnivora; Felidae. The record is from Rfam by way of RNAcentral.